Molecule: non-coding RNA, 1053 nt
Organism: Schizosaccharomyces pombe (fission yeast)
Lineage: Eukaryota; Fungi; Ascomycota; Schizosaccharomycetes; Schizosaccharomycetales; Schizosaccharomycetaceae
Source: the annotation of a GenBank genome assembly
AGACGUGCUAAUUGCGGCCAUUAAAUCGGGUUUUUGAUUCAGAAAGGAUAUUGGUCGGUAACAAAGACACCAAUCGUCGUCUAAGCGAGCGUCCGGUAAUUGGAACCAAGUUUUAGAUAAUCUAAUAUAAUACAAAACGCGAGCGUGAGUAAUAGCAUAUAUAAUGGUCGUGUCGGAAUGCUCACUGAACGAGAAAGCUACACCGUCCUUCAUUACGUUGGAUGGAAAAUGAAUUUUCACAUUAAAUUUUGAUAAAGGCUCCUUCUUAGAAUUUAAUGAAACAUCAAAGAUAGUGAGUGUUCUGUUUUGGAAUAUACUCCAUCGUAAAGUUUGUGAACCUUUGCUUUUAUUUGAGGUAUAAACACCUGCAUCAUAUGCUACACAUUCCUUUUUAAAAAGUUUUUCAUUAUCAUCAGCUGUUUCUAUAGCUUCAGAAUCGUCUUCCGAGUCGUUUUCGAGAGCUGGAACCCACAACGCCAAAGUUCCUUCCAGACAAAAAGAUUGUAAGUCUAUCGGAACUACCGCAUGCUUUAAUUCAUUCAUAUUUUGAUUUUAUUUUUUACUGGUAGCGGUAAUACCAGUAGAAAUACCAAACAAAUAGCUAACAAUAGGGGGCAGUUCUGGUUGAGUAUCGUAGACAACGACCUACACGAGUUAGCGUAAGACAGGCCAGUCCUACAACGAAUUUAUGAGAAACGCGUAAAUACGAGUAUAUUUGUAAUUCUUUAGCUUUUUAGGGUAGAGGGAGAUGGAAUGUAAAACUGAAUUUUCUUCUUGAAGAUUAAGUUCCUUAAUAAAAUAGAAUCAUUUGAUUGUGGAUGAAGAAAGCUAAACAAUUUGAUAGUUUUUAUUAAUCGAGCAAUUCCUUUGUAUUCAUAAUAAUAAAAAAGGAAUCAAAUAUUCAUUUAAAACUCAAGAGCUUAAAUGGAUUCUCUAUUUUAUUUGUGAAAUUACAUACAACAGUAAAAGAUCUUCAAGAUAUCAGAAGCCUUUCUUAGAUUAUUGUUAGUUUUUUUUAUUAUUUUUUGUAUACCUGUAACUUUUUAGCUGUUG